UACCGGCAGUCCAAGUUGCAACCAACAUUAUUGGGUCUAAAACAUCCGUAGCUUGCUUACAAAGUUUCUUGUGAAAUUCUACGUCUCAAGCGUGGAGCUUGCAAGAAAUACUUGUAAGCUAGAGACCGGUAGAUGUGGGGAGUACGCCCAAGGUAGUGGUAAAAUACGUUAAUCUUGGGUGGACUAACGAUUGGCGAAGGCACCCUGCAAGGACGGAUCUGACAGUGAGGGAUGAAGGCCAGGGGCGCAAAACGGAUUAGAUACCCUCGUA
Molecule: ribosomal RNA, 271 nt
Filed under: uncultured prokaryote
Description: partial 16S ribosomal RNA
Rfam family: Archaeal small subunit ribosomal RNA
Source: RNAcentral